CGGACGGGUGAGUAAUGCUUGGGAAUCUGGCUUAUGGAGGGGGAUAACUACGGGAAACUGUAGCUAAUACCGCGUAAUAUCUUCGGAUUAAAGGGUGGGACUUUCGGGCCACCUGCCAUAAGAUGAGCCCAAGUGGGAUUAGGUAGUUGGUGGGGUAAAGGCCUACCAAGCCGACGAUCUCUAGCUGGUCUGAGAGGAUGACCAGCCACACUGGAACUGAGACACGGUCCAGACUCCUACGGGAGGCAGCAGUGGGGAAUAUUGCACAAUGGGGGGAACCCUGAUGCAGCCAUGCCGCGUGAAUGAAGAAGGCCUUCGGGUUGUAAAGUUCUUUCGGUGAUGAGGAAGGUGUUUGUUUUAAUAGAACAAGCAAUUGACGUUAGUCACAGAAGAAGCACCGGCUAACUCCGUGCCAGCAGCCGCGGUAAUACGGAGGGUGCGAGCGUUAAUCGGAAUGACUGGGCGUAAAGGGCACGCAGGCGGUGACUUAAGUGAGAUGUGAAAGCCCCGAGCUUAACUUGGGAAUUGCAUUUCAUACUGGGUCGCUAGAGUAUUUUAGGGAGGGGUAGAAUUCCACGUGUAGCGGUGAAAUGCGUAGAGAUGUGGAGGAAUACCGAAGGCGAAGGCAGCCCCUUGGGAAUAUACUGACGCUCAUGUGCGAAAGCGUGGGGAGCAAACAGGAUUAGAUACCCUGGUAGUCCACGCUGUAAACGCUGUCGAUUUGGGGAUUGGGCUUAGAGCUUGGUGCCCGUAGCUAACGUGAUAAAUCGACCGCCUGGGGAGUACGGCCCGCAGGUUAAAACUCAAAU
RNAcentral lists this ribosomal RNA (809 nucleotides) under uncultured Actinobacillus sp. Its description in RNAcentral is "bacterial SSU rRNA". It matches the Rfam family "Bacterial small subunit ribosomal RNA", at positions 99 to 906 of the family's 1533-position model. The record is from RNAcentral. Lineage: Bacteria; Pseudomonadati; Pseudomonadota; Gammaproteobacteria; Pasteurellales; Pasteurellaceae.